GACGGAGGGCGCAAGCGUUGUUCGGAAUUACUGGGCGUAAAGCGCGCGCAGGCGGGAAGGUAAGUCUGGAGUGAAAUUCCGGGGCUCAACUCCGGAGCUGCUUUGGAUACUGUCUUUCUAGGGACCGGUAGAGGCCGGUGGAAUUCCCGGUGUAGCGGUGGAAUGCGUAGAGAUCGGGAAGAACACCCGUGGCGAAGGCGGCCGGCUGGGCCGGAUCCGACGCUGAGGCGCGAAAGCUAGGGGAGCGAACGGG
RNAcentral lists this ribosomal RNA (253 nucleotides) under uncultured bacterium. RNAcentral describes it as "partial 16S ribosomal RNA". It matches the Rfam family "Bacterial small subunit ribosomal RNA", at positions 524 to 776 of the family's 1533-position model. The record is from RNAcentral.